UUUGGUUCAAAUUUUGCAUCUUUUAUAGCUGUAGAUUGAUAACAAAAAUACUUUUCACAUUUAAUCAUGUAAUAGGAUAUAUAAAUGAUUAGAAAAAAAUAGAGUCAUGGAUGUUUCCCUGUUUGCCUUGUAUCAGAAGUUCAGAACUAAUACUUGCUCAUGCCUUAUAAUUGUAAGCUCGCAGUAUAAUUAUUCACUUGUCUUAACUUGUCCCAUAUAUUAAAAGCAAGAGAGGUUUAUCGUGACAAAGUUAAAACAUUGUCCCAACUGACCAGUAAAUCCCAUGUAAUCCCUUGGUGCAGGCACUUUGGCACACCCAAUGAACACUCAUUCUUCUCGCUGUUGUUCUUUGAUAUUUAUUUUGAUGCAUGAUAUGAUGUCUUGUGAGUAGUGACAACUUCCUGACAUGUGAAAUACUCAUCUAAUUUGUUUUUCCUCGUCUAAUCUGCAGGAGUAGGAAUAGUUACUUCCUGCUGCGGUUCUAUGACAGCUCUCAUUAUACAUGUUUUAUCACCACCAGUGGCUAUGAACAUCAGUAGUAACACCAUCAUUGGUACGUUCCCUUGUUUGGAGAGAUGGAAUAUGAUCCGAGCUGCCAGUACGCGUUUCUAGCAAUAGAAGAACAUUGGGGCACUUGCGAAAGACAUAGGUGAAGUCAAGGUAAAUUUUCGUUAGAAAUAAAAUGCAAUAUGGAUUGAUGAAGUUCCUUCAACCGAGUAGUGAAGUGGGGAUUUUCAGGUGCGCUCCAAGCGGUGCUGGCUUGGUAUCAAAUAGCAAGGAAGAAAAGAUGGCAGCAUGCACUUGAGGAGAGAUGGGCGGCCACUGAAUUAGAGGGUGCCCAAUGACCAGAAUUAAAAGAUCAAUUCUGGUAUUUCUUUCAGCAGCUGAAUCGAGGAGAAUAACCGAGACUGGAUGAAAAAAGCAGCAUGGACGGAGGAAAGGCUGUGUACAUUCUAAUUAUUUAGAAAUAAACUAACGGAACUUACUAAUGGAGCUCGGAAUAAUGGUUCACAUGAAAGCCAUAGAUAACUUACAUUGUUUGUUGCCGCUCAAGAUAUAUAUAGUACAGAAUGUCUCCCCUUGAUGCACUAAUGUUAGUAAAUGAUGAUAAUACCUUCAGAUUGCUUAGAAACAUUGGUCUGGUAGAAAGGCAAGUAUGACUAUGCAAAUACUAUGAUUUAUGUAAAUACUAUGUAACAGACACUAAGCAAUUUCUGACCAAAGAAGGGAAAGCACCUGACCAAAGAUGGGCGGCCACUGAAUUUGUUUCUCUGCAGAUUAUGCAAUGUCAGGGAAGCAGUGUUUUACCCGAGAGAAGAAACCGUUGAAUGCCUUCUAUCGUCCCUUGCAAGAAAAAAAGAGAAUACCUUAUCUCCAUUAUAACACUGGAACACCAGAAAUAUUUUCACUCUGAAGAUGGAAACCAAUCUAGCGAGGCAUGAGAUGUACUAUAUAUAAGAAGGCCUUUCCCUCUAAACAAAUUCCAAGAGUGAGUACUUCAUCACAAAUAUAUGUGCUCCAUAUAAUCAGCACAACAUCAAGGAGUUGGAGGCUGGUGCACAAAUUCUCCUCCAAUUCUACCUUGCAACCCUGGUACAAAAGAACAAAUAGCAACCAAUUCAGAGUUAACCAUCAGAUCAUAGCAACUAACUAACAAAUCAGAGUACGUUAUGAGAGGAGAAGCCUCAUUGUGGAUCAGCAAUCUAGCGGCAAGAAAAAGCCUGACACAACCAACACUGUAGUCACUCGAUGUAGAGGCUACGCAUAUUGCGUUAUCUAAGAACCGAAUGUGCAAAAGCUGAUCGCAAAGCCACAAACAGAACCUCGUGACAUCAGCAACAACAUCAUUGGCGCUAGCCGAUGCCAAUUGGAUAAUCUGAAAAUCAAAUGAGAUACCUUCGGGGAUGAUGGAUCGAUACAUGUUGGUGGGAUGAUAAAUCUACAAGUUGUGUGGAGAAGAAACAACUGCAUCUAUAGAAAAUUCCAUCCACCAAAAGAAGAAGAUGCAAUUGUGUUCUUCUGAUUGUAGGGAUCAAUCCGAUCCACUGAGAAUUCUAUCAUGAAUUCAAUUGAGUGUAAAACCGCGCAUCAGCACAUGCAUCCUUGUGUCACCGUCGAGUGCCAACAAACCGCACGCUCGCCGGUGCACUCCGCAAACUCCGCUGCCUCCGGAGUAGAAGACCCCUGUUCGAUCUCCAAUCUGGGCACUAUACGUAGACAUGAGUUUACAUACAGCUCUUAGUCUGUCCUAGAAGCUAGCUCUGCAUGCAGGAGGGAUGGGGGAGAGCAGCGGAGGAAAGGGGUCUUGGAUUGAUCUUAUAAGAGUUUUACGCCUGAUCUUAGAAGGUUUGCAAGGAAAAGGCUUGCGUGUGUUUUUUUGGCAGACCGUAGAGGAGUUCGGCCAGGAAAAGCCUCACCUGUGGGAUAGUUGGCAAGGACUCCUCGUUAACGGCGGAGAGCGGGGCAGGCAUUACGGGGGACUCCUCCUUAACGGUCUAUGAGGAAGUAUGGUGUGAAGGAGAGAGGGUGUCAUGGUGAAAGUGAGGCGGACGUCACCCACUACGGCGGGAA
This is a long non-coding RNA of Triticum aestivum (bread wheat), 2571 nucleotides long. RefSeq lists it as uncharacterized. The transcript has 4 exons. The record is from RefSeq and is a predicted model, not a curated record. NCBI's taxonomy places the organism in Eukaryota, Viridiplantae, Streptophyta, Magnoliopsida, Poales, Poaceae.